UCCUUGGUUGUCUAGUGGUAAGGAUUCGGCGCUCUCACCACCACGGCCCGGGUUCGAUUCCCGGUCAGGGAA
This 72-nucleotide transfer RNA is filed under the name Ameiurus melas (black bullhead). It matches the Rfam family "tRNA". From Rfam's summary of the family: Transfer RNA (tRNA) molecules are approximately 80 nucleotides in length. Their secondary structure includes four short double-helical elements and three loops (D, anti-codon, and T loops). The record is from Rfam by way of RNAcentral. Lineage: Eukaryota; Metazoa; Chordata; Actinopteri; Siluriformes; Ictaluridae.